This is a long non-coding RNA of Xenia sp. Carnegie-2017, 1330 nucleotides long. RefSeq lists it as uncharacterized. The record is from RefSeq and is a predicted model, not a curated record. The transcript has 2 exons. NCBI's taxonomy places the organism in Eukaryota, Metazoa, Cnidaria, Anthozoa, Malacalcyonacea, Xeniidae.
GCAAUAUAUGUUCUGCAAAGCGAUAUAUAACUCACUUUUUUCAUAGUAAUUGUUGUAUCUUUUAGAUUUGACAAAAAAUUGUUAACAAAGAUUCACUUUAUAAAUUGAUAGCCACAUUAAACUUGUAGACCCACAUUAAUUAUAAUAUUUGUAUAUUUGUAUAAAAAGUAGUAAACAAUGAGGCAAGUGUACAUGUCUUGAAUUACAUCAUGAUUUUUAAUCAUGACACAGCCUUGCAAAGUAGUUAAAAUACCAAAAUAUUUACACAUUUUAUCUUAUGAUUUACAAAUUUAUUUUUUAAUCAAUAUAGAAAGGCUUUAAACGAUGCCAAUCAUUUGAAGCAAUGGUACGGGAACGAUCGAUGAACCGAGUUUUUUUCGAUUUAAAAUUUAUUCAUAUUCAUCGUAGAAAAGUUUACCCUCUACGUUGGCAAAGCCUGUGAACAAUCAGACAUGAGUUAUGGCACUGUGGUGAUAGUAACGUGUAUAGUCGUGGUGGGAGCGUCCUGUGAUGAAACACGUGCAUCUUAUGUAUUUCAUUGCAGGGCCGGCUUUCUUCUGGCACUUUCGACUGGAAAAUAAUAACUAUAUUUUUGAUCGCUUAAUCCAAGUAUGAAAGUUGUAACGUGUUUUCAAACACAUAACAUUUUUAUUUAAAUUACACGGAACAGCAAGGCACGUUAUGGUUUUGAAAAAUAACAAGGAAAACUGUCAUUGGUGGUUACAUAAGAACUGAUCAAUAGACUGAUUUUGACGAAGAAUCAUGAAAAAAGAACUGGUAUGGAUUUGUAGUGAUUUGGCAGUGUUGUUGACAGUUUCUGGAAGACUACUUCAUGUGUUCAACAGGUAUCCUGUCGAUUUAUCAGAUCCUCAUAAGAAAUAUAAAUACAAUAUGUUACUGGAUACCUUUGGAUACAAUAAAAACAAGACAUUCAUCUUCAAAAAGAUUAUCAGGCUUGACAACAUUAGCUUCUGGCAAACGUAGUAUGGUAGAUGUUAUGUUUUGUUGAAUAGUAAAAUAAUAGCGGAUCAAUGGCAUAAAAAAAUAGUUUCAUCACUUUCACGUACGUUGGUACUUAAUUCUGGAAUCUUAUUCGAAACCAAAUACAGGAGAGGCAAUAUUAUCCAUGGUGAGCUUUCGGACUAAAAUGCCUCUCGUGUUUUCUAAAAAGUGUAGUAUUUUCUAGCUUGUAGUUAAUGUUAUAUUCAAAUUUCUAUUCAUAAAAACUUCUAAAGUCAUGUAAAUAAUUUCAAUUUUUCUAUAGUAUAUCACUGUUAUUCUUGGAUAACAAUAGCGUGUGUAAAUAAAGUUCCUUCAUUUAUUUUUCAUA